GGAGAGUGUAUAGAGUGGCGCACGGGUGAGUAACACGUAAGUAAUCUACCUUUGAGUGGGGAAUAACAUCGGGAAACCGAUGCUAAUACCGCAUAAUGCAGCGGCAUCGCAAGAUGACAGUUGUUAAAGAUUUAUCGCUUGAAGAGGAGCUUGCGGCAGAUUAGCUAGUUGGUAAGGUAAUGGCUUACCAAGGCUACGAUCUGUAACCGGUCUAAGAGGACGGUCGGUCACACUGACACUGAAUAACGGGUCAGACUCCUACGGGAGGCAGCAGUCGGGAAUUUUGGGCAAUGGGCGAAAGCCUGGCCCAGCAACGCCGCGUGAAGGAUGAAGUAUUUCGGUAUGUAAACUUCGAAAGAAUAGGAAGAAUAAAUGACGGUACUAUUUAUAAGGUCCGGCUAACUACGUGCCAGCAGCCGCGGUAAUACGUAGGGACCAAGCGUUGUUCGGAUUUACUGGGCGUAAAGGGCGCGUAGGCGGCUUGUCAAGUCACUUGUGAAAUCUCUGGGCUUAACCCAGAACGGCCAAGUGAAACUGACAUGCUAGAGUGCAGAAGGGGCAAUCGGAAUUCUUGGUGUAGCGGUGAAAUGCGUAGAUAUCAAGAGGAACACCUGAGGUGAAGACGGGUUGCUGGGCUGACACUGACGCUGAUGCGCGAAAGCCAGGGGAGCAAACGGGAUUAGAUACCCCGGUAGUCCUGGCCCUAAACGAUGAAUACUUGGUGUCUGGA
RNAcentral lists this ribosomal RNA (730 nucleotides) under uncultured bacterium. Its description in RNAcentral is "bacterial SSU rRNA". It matches the Rfam family "Bacterial small subunit ribosomal RNA", at positions 81 to 828 of the family's 1533-position model. The record is from RNAcentral.